ACGUCUUGUAUCUUCACUCCCGCACUGGACAGAGACCAGACCAGACAUAGAAACCUAUACCGACAUAUAUUAUACCGACUGCGGUGAACAGAACUCUACUAAUUUCAGAAACCAUAGACCUAUUAUGUAGGCAACGUAUAUUAUACGUAGAGCUAUCAUCAUUAGACCCCUGUCGGAGCGAUAGGGGUCUUUCGACUCCAAUAAAACGAUUGAAUAACUAGGAAUUUGCUUCUUCGUGAUUUGUAAGAAUUUGUGUAGCACCUGAACC
Long non-coding RNA from Mizuhopecten yessoensis (Yesso scallop), 268 nucleotides. RefSeq lists it as uncharacterized. Lineage: Eukaryota; Metazoa; Mollusca; Bivalvia; Pectinida; Pectinidae. The record is from RefSeq and is a predicted model, not a curated record. The transcript has 3 exons.